GAUGAACGCUAGCGGGAGGCUUAACACAUGCAAGUCGAGGGGCAUCACGAGGUAGCAAUACUUUGGUGGCGACCGGCGCACGGGUGAGUAACGCGUAUGUAACCUACCCUGUACAGGGGGAUAGCCCGGAGAAAUUCGGAUUAAUACCCCAUAAUGAUAUCUGGAGGCAUCUUUGGAUAUUUAAAGCUUCGGCGGUACGGGAUGGGCAUGCGUGACAUUAGCUAGUUGGUAAGGUAACGGCUCACCAAGACUUCGAUGUCUAGGGGUUCUGAGAUGAUUAACCCCCACACUGGUACUGAGACACGGACCAGACACCUACGGGAGCU
Molecule: ribosomal RNA, 326 nt
Filed under: uncultured Bacteroidota bacterium
Lineage: Bacteria; Pseudomonadati; Bacteroidota
Description: bacterial SSU rRNA
Rfam family: Bacterial small subunit ribosomal RNA
Source: RNAcentral